GAUGAACGCUGGCGGCGUGCCUAAUACAUGCAAGUCGAGCGAACGGACGAGAAGCUUGCUUCUCUGAUGUUAGCGGCGGACGGGUGAGUAACACGUGGAUAACCUACCUAUAAGACUGGGACAACUUCGGGAAACCGGAGCUAAUACCGGAUAAUAUUUUGAACCGCAUGGUUCAAAAGUGAAAGACGGUCUUGCUGUCACUUAUAGAUGGAUCCGCGCUGCAUUAGCUAGUUGGUAAGGUAACGGCUUACCAAGGCAACGAUGCAUAGCCGACCUGAGAGGGGGAUCGGCCACACUGGAACUGGAACACGGUCCAGACUCCUACGGGAGGCAGCAGUAGGGAAUCUUCCGCAAUGGGCGAAAGCCUGACGGAGCAACGCCGCGUGAGUGAUGAAGGUCUUCGGAUCGUAAAACUCUGUUAUUAGGGAAGAACAUAUGUGUAAGUAACUGUGCACAUCUUGACGGUACCUAAUCAGAAAGCCACGGCUAACUACGUG
RNAcentral lists this ribosomal RNA (497 nucleotides) under uncultured bacterium. Its description in RNAcentral is "partial 16S ribosomal RNA". It matches the Rfam family "Bacterial small subunit ribosomal RNA", at positions 28 to 507 of the family's 1533-position model. The record is from RNAcentral.